UUAAAGAGCUGAGAGAUGAAUUACAAGAUGCAUGCAAUUUAAAAAACAGUGAAACGUGUAAGUUGUUUUCAAGAAUAAUUUAAUUUUUCAAAUUAUUAUGUUCUAAAUCAAUUUGAAUGAUUGUAUAUGUUGUUUGAGGGGUAAGAAAAAACAAACAAGCCACAUAUUUUAUAAUAAAGUUAAUAACAUGACACAUUCGAUAACUUUUUACCACAUGCAGUGAACUCACUCUCAUAAGC
Molecule: long non-coding RNA, 239 nt
Filed under: Lathyrus oleraceus (garden pea)
Lineage: Eukaryota; Viridiplantae; Streptophyta; Magnoliopsida; Fabales; Fabaceae
Description: Pisum sativum (pea) long non-coding RNA (PSAT_LNC024244)
Source: RNAcentral